AACGUAGGAGACAAACGUUAUCCGGAGUUACUGGGCGUAAAGGGCGUGUAGGUGGUUUGUUAAGUCUGGCGUGAAAGCUCUCGGCUAAACCGGGAGAGGUCGUUGGAUACUGGCAAACUAGAGGACGGUAGAGGCGUGUGGAAUUCCGGGUGUAGUGGUGAAAUGCGUAGAGAUCCGGAGGAACACCAGUGGCGAAGGCGACACGCUGGGCCGUACCUGACGCUAAAGCGCGACAGCAUGGGGAGCAAACGGG
Molecule: ribosomal RNA, 253 nt
Filed under: uncultured bacterium
Lineage: Bacteria
Description: partial 16S ribosomal RNA
Rfam family: Bacterial small subunit ribosomal RNA
Source: RNAcentral